RNAcentral lists this ribosomal RNA (450 nucleotides) under uncultured bacterium. RNAcentral's name for it is "bacterial SSU rRNA". It matches the Rfam family "Bacterial small subunit ribosomal RNA", at positions 28 to 458 of the family's 1533-position model. The record is from RNAcentral.
GAUGAACGCUGGCGGCGUGCUUAACACAUGCAAGUCGAACGAAGCACUUUAUUUGAUUUCCUUCGGGACUGAUUAUUUUGUGACUGAGUGGCGGACGGGUGAGUAACGCGUGGGUAACCUGUCUUGUACAGGGGGAUAACAGUUGGAAACGGCUGCUAAUACCGCAUAAGCGCACGGCAUCGCAUGAUGCAGUGUGAAAAACUCCGGUGGUAUAAGAUGGACCCGCGUUGGAUUAGCUAGUUGGUGAGGUAACGGCCCACCAAGGCGACGAUCCAUAGCCGACCUGAGAGGGUGACCGGCCACAUUGGGACUGAGACACGGCCCAAACUCCUACGGGAGGCAGCAGUGGGGAAUAUUGCACAAUGGGCGAAAGCCUGAUGCAGCGACGCCGCGUGAGCGAAGAAGUAUUUCGGUAUGUAAAGCUCUAUCAGCAGGGAAGAUAAUGACGGU